Molecule: ribosomal RNA, 311 nt
Filed under: uncultured Gammaproteobacteria bacterium
Lineage: Bacteria; Pseudomonadati; Pseudomonadota; Gammaproteobacteria
Description: bacterial SSU rRNA
Rfam family: Bacterial small subunit ribosomal RNA
Source: RNAcentral
CUGGCGGUAGGCUUAACACAUGCAAGUCGUGCGAGAAAAUAUCUUCGGAUAUGAGUAGAGCGGCGAACGGGUGAGUAACGCGUAGGAAUGUACCUAGUAGAAGGGGAUAGCCCGGGGAAACUCGGAUUAAUACCGUAUACCUCCUUUGGGAGAAAGAAGGCCUCUCUUUGAAGCUUUCGCUAUUAGAUCAGCCUGCGUAAGAUUAGCUUGUUGGUGAGGUAAUGGCUCACCAAGGCUACGAUCUUUAGCUGGUCUGAGAGGACGAUCAGCCACAUUGGGACUGAGACACGGCCCAGACUCCUACGGGAGGC